Molecule: ribosomal RNA, 842 nt
Filed under: uncultured Planctomycetota bacterium
Lineage: Bacteria; Pseudomonadati; Planctomycetota
Description: bacterial SSU rRNA
Rfam family: Bacterial small subunit ribosomal RNA
Source: RNAcentral
UCAGCGCGAACGCUGGCGGCAUGGCUAAAACAUGCAAGUCGAACGCGAACGCACCUUCGGGUGUUAUUAGAGUGGCGAAAGGGCGAGUAAUGCGUUCCUACAUACCCCCAGGUCAGGGACAGUCCAGGGAAACUUGGCUUAAUACCUGAUGUGGUCUUCGGAUCAAAGGCUUCGGCCGCCAGGGGAGUGGGGAACGUCCUAUCAGGCUGUUGGUGAGGUAAAAGCUCACCAAGCCAUUGACGGGUAGCGGGUGUGAGAGCAUGACCCGCCGCAUCGGGACUGAGACACUGCCCGGACUCCUACGGGAGGCUGCAGUAACGAAUCUUCCGCAAUGCGCGAAAGCGUGACGGAGCAAUGCCGCGUGCAGGAUGAAUCCCCUCGGGGUGUAAACUGCUGUCAGGGUUUAGCAACACAAUGAGCAGACCCAAAGGAAGGGCCGGCUAACUUCGUGCCAGCAGCCGCGGUAAUACGAAGGGCCCGAGCGUUGCGCGGAAUCACUGGGCUUAAAGCGUACGUAGGCGGACGGGAAGGCGUCUUGUGAAAGCCCUCGGCUCAACCGAGGAACUGCUUGGCGAACCCCCCGUCUUGAGGCAAGUAGGGGCUGUCGGAACGAUAGGUGGAGUGGUGAAAUGCGUUGAUAUCUAUCGGAGCGCCGAAGGAGAAAUCAGGCAGCUGGGCUUGUCCUGACGCUAAGGUACGAAAGCGUGGGGAGCGAACGGGAUUAGAUACCCCGGUAGUCCACGCCGUAAACGAUGUGCACUAGAUCGAGGGGGUUCUGACACCGCUCUCGGUCGAAGCGAAAGUGUUAAGUGCACCGCCUGGGGAGUAUGGUCGCAAGGCAA